UUAUAUAUGGAAAAUUACUGAAGGGCCAGAUGAGGAAGAUAAGCCCCAAAUUACAGGGAGGAUUGUCACUGCUAUUCAAAUAGUUGGUGAGGGGGAAUCUCUUCAUCCCCGAGUUUGUUGGCAUUGUCACAAACAAGAAAUUCUUGUGGUCGGGAUCGGAAGACAUGUUUUAAAAAUUGAUACCACAAAAUUUGGAAAAGCUGAAGUUUUUUCAGCAGAUGAACCUCUCAAGUGUCCUGUUGACAGGUUGGUUGAUGGGGUACAACUUGUUGGUGCUCAUGAUGGAGAAGUGACUGAUUUGUCAAUGUGCCAGUGGAUGACCACUCGAUUGGUAUCUGCAUCGGUGGAUGGCACGAUAAAGAUUUGGGAAGACUGGAAGCCUCAGCCAAUUGCAAUUCUCAGGCCUCAUGAUGGUAAUCCUAUUCAUUCAGCCACCUUCCUUUCUGCUCCAGACUGCCCACAUCACAUCAUACUCAUCACUGGGGGUUUACUUAAUCGGGAAAUGAAGAUAUGGGUAUCAG
RNAcentral lists this unclassified non-coding RNA (521 nucleotides) under Hevea brasiliensis (rubber tree). Lineage: Eukaryota; Viridiplantae; Streptophyta; Magnoliopsida; Malpighiales; Euphorbiaceae. The record is from RNAcentral.